UACGUAGGGGGCAAGCGUUGUCCGGAUUUAUUGGGCGUAAAGAGCGUGUAGGCGGCCAGGUAGGUCUGCUGUGAAAACUCGAGGCUUAACCUCGAGAUGUCGGCGGAAACCAUCUGGCUAGAGUCCGGAAGAGGAGAAUGGAAUUCCCGGUGUAGCGAUGAAAUGCGCAGAUAUCGGGAAGAACACCCGUGGCGAAGGCGGUUCUCUGGGACGGUACUGACGCUGAGGAGCGAAAGCAUGGGGAGCGAACAGG
This 253-nucleotide ribosomal RNA is filed under the name uncultured bacterium. RNAcentral's name for it is "partial 16S ribosomal RNA". It matches the Rfam family "Bacterial small subunit ribosomal RNA", at positions 524 to 776 of the family's 1533-position model. The record is from RNAcentral.